GCUGAAGGGGGUGCAAAGGACACGUGUUGGGAAGUCUGGAAGACGCUGAAUCCCAAGUCUUUGCAAAUUCAGAAGUUGCGCGGGUGUCUCUUAAGGAAACGUGUCAGUGCUUCUCUUUAUGGGCACUACGUAUCCCAGAACGUGCAUUGUUAACUAGUACUUGGAGUAACUGGGUUAGUUAUGGAAACUACAGCCGCUGUCAAUUUGCAAGCAUCACCAAAGAAGAGAGCAUCUUGAAGAACCCAAAGUGAAAAGUAAAAAAACUGAAUCUCAUCUUGUACUGUUAAAGAGGAGAGGGGUCAAAACAGGCAACAGUCAGAGUGGCUGUCUUCAGACAAGAGGAGAUCCAGCUUGCUGUUGCACACAGUUUUGUUUGCUCUGAGACUAAUGUAGGAGUAUGUGUGGUGUUGUAUUUCUCAGAGUUCUUAAAUCAGGAGAAUGUAAAUGAAGUCAAGCUUGCCAAGUAUUGUGUGCUAAAUUUACACCACAAGUCUUUAAAAUGUAUGUAUUUAGGGUGUAUGUAGGUUUCUGACCAGGAAGACUGGUGCAUUUUUUUGUAUUGCACUGUUUUUAUGGCUUCUUAUGUUAUUGAUAAUCCUUUUUAAAUAAAGUUUGUUAAACUUUUUAAAACAUUAACAAACAUUAUUUAUAUAACUUUACACAAUGAUGAGUUUUAUAUUGAUAUACCUAGUGGUGCAUUAUUUUUACAAAUAAAAACAUACUUGAGUAUG
Molecule: long non-coding RNA, 731 nt
Organism: Eublepharis macularius
Lineage: Eukaryota; Metazoa; Chordata; Lepidosauria; Squamata; Eublepharidae
Exons: 2
Source: RefSeq, a predicted model, not a curated record